GGCCCAUUGGUGAAAUUCGGAAUAACACACUGCCCUUUCACGGCAGCAUUUGCGGGAUCGUGCCCCGCAUGGGUCACCA
Molecule: transfer RNA, 79 nt
Filed under: Candidatus Saccharimonadota bacterium
Lineage: Bacteria; Candidatus Saccharimonadota
Description: tRNA-Glu
Source: RNAcentral